GCCUUCGAGGUGUAGUGGUCAGCACGCUCGACGCGUAACCGAGAGGUUGGUGGUUCGAUUCCCGGCGAAGGCG
This 73-nucleotide transfer RNA is filed under the name Stegodyphus mimosarum. It matches the Rfam family "tRNA". Rfam says of the family: Transfer RNA (tRNA) molecules are approximately 80 nucleotides in length. Their secondary structure includes four short double-helical elements and three loops (D, anti-codon, and T loops). Lineage: Eukaryota; Metazoa; Arthropoda; Arachnida; Araneae; Eresidae. The record is from Rfam by way of RNAcentral.